UCCGUAAGGGGUACCUGCGGAGGGAUCAUUACAGAGUUGCAAAACUCCCAAACCAUUGUGAACGUUACCUUUAACCGUUGCUUCGGCGGGCGGCCCCGGGACCACUCCCGGGGCCCCUGGGCCCCCUAGCGGGGCGCCCGCCGGAGGUCACCUAACUCUUGAUAAUUUAAGGCCUCUCUGAGUCUUCUGUACUGAAUAAGUCAAAACUUUCAACAACGGAUCUCUUGGUUCUGGCAUCGAUGAAGAACGCAGCGAAAUGCGAUAAGUAAUGUGAAUUGCAGAAUUCAGUGAAUCAUCGAAUCUUUGAACGCACAUUGCGCCCGCCAGUAUUCUGGCGGGCAUGCCUGUCCGAGCGUCAUUUCAACCAUCAAGCCCCGGGCUUGUGUUGGGGACCUGCGGCUGUCCGCAGGCCCUGAAAACCAGUGGCGGGCUCGCUGUCACCCCGAGCGUAGUAGUAUUAUCUCGCUAAGGGCGUGCUGCGGGUUCCGGCCGUUAAACAGCCUUCAUAACCCAAGGUUGACCUCGGAUCAGGUAGGAAGACCCGCUGAACUUAAGCAUAUCAAUAAGG
This 568-nucleotide ribosomal RNA is filed under the name Chaetomium madrasense. RNAcentral's name for it is "eukaryotic LSU rRNA". The stretch from base 205 to 358 matches the Rfam family "5.8S ribosomal RNA". The record is from RNAcentral. Lineage: Eukaryota; Fungi; Ascomycota; Sordariomycetes; Sordariales; Chaetomiaceae.